GUGACCCUUCUAAAGCUUUUAAGAGGAACCAUUCAGUAAAGAUUUCUAGCUACUGAAGUGUUACCAACUGAUCCACAGUGAUGUGCAGAAGAAUGGGAGCUUACGCUCAGCCUGUUACUGCUCAGGAUCAGUACCUGGUAUCACAAGCUUGAGGCUGCACUGAAUAUCAAGACAGACCUUGCAGGAUUGAGCUCCCAAAACACAGUCCGGAAUCAUAGAAUCAUAGAAUAUCCUGAGUUGAAG
Molecule: long non-coding RNA, 243 nt
Organism: Cygnus olor (mute swan)
Lineage: Eukaryota; Metazoa; Chordata; Aves; Anseriformes; Anatidae
Exons: 3
Source: RefSeq, a predicted model, not a curated record